UCGGGGAGAUGGGGAGGAAGAAGGAGAAGUGCCCAACAUUUUUUGCCUUCUCUUCAUUUGUUGACGCACAUGCCGACUGGCAGGAAAGAAAGGAUCAUAGUUUCAAACAUCACAGACAGUGCAUGAAGCUGGACACAGGAAAACCCUGCAACCUUGCAUUCAUUUAAAUUCAUCUGUUGUACAAUUACCUAAAAACAUCAGGAGGCCUUAUGCUGCAACAAAUACUAUAACAAAAAUAAAGUUUUGUUUUCACUGA
Molecule: long non-coding RNA, 256 nt
Organism: Homo sapiens (human)
Lineage: Eukaryota; Metazoa; Chordata; Mammalia; Primates; Hominidae
Source: Ensembl